This is a non-coding RNA of Phascolarctos cinereus (koala), 510 nucleotides long. The record is from RefSeq and is a predicted model, not a curated record. NCBI's taxonomy places the organism in Eukaryota, Metazoa, Chordata, Mammalia, Diprotodontia, Phascolarctidae.
GAACAUUCCAAGCAGGGGGAUAUUGUAAACAAGACUAUAAAGACAGGAAUAAUUAUUAUCAUCUUUAGAAGAUAAUGAAUAGACUUCCAUUUCUUCAUUUAUAAACUCGGGUGGUUUGGCUGAACCUCUGAACUUCCUUUGAAUCAAAGAAUCAGCAUUAGACGGAAGAGACAUUAGGAAGGGGAUAGUCCAAAUCACUCAGAGUACAUAUGAAGACACAGAGGUUCAUGAUGAACACAUUGCCUCAACACCAAACCAUCAGUGCCAAGAUAUGCUUUACACAGGAUGAUGAGGCAUAAGAGCGUCUUUGCUGAAUUUUUUCUCAUAAACAUGAAAAUUUCCGGAAAAGGUUAUUGUGAACAGGCCUAUAGAAUGUCUCAGUGUAGAGGGCUGGAAUCAGGAGCUGUCUUUGAGUCUUGGUUUUAAUGCUUAUAAGGCCUAUGUAUUUGGAUAAUUCAAGCCUCAGUUUCCAUAACUGUAAAAUAUAAAUGAUGAUCAUUGCAUUACCUA